AACAAAUAUCUCCUUUUGGAGAUUGAUUUUAAUCUAUCCAACAUUAUUUGUUGAUGAACCUUCAGCUUCUUGACAUGGUAUCAGAGCAUCCAUGGUAGAGUGAGUGCUUUUUAUUUCCAAUCGAUCUUUAUUUCCGCAAUCUUAAGGUUCAUCUUAUCCGUUUUAAAUUCGACUACCAAAGUAACGCCAACUUGCCACAUAAAUAUAAAGGGCAUUAUUCUGAAAAUUCACUGAUUUCCAACUGUACUUAUUUCAGGUACUCAUCCGAAGCUAUUUAUGCGGUCACAAUAGAUUGCACGUUUUUUUCAUUAUUUUGAUCAUCUCAUUUGUCUUGAUUUAGUUGUGCUUAUGUCCUGGUGUUGGCGUGACUUGAGAAAGGCUAUAUAAAGAUCAUAAAGGGCAUUGUUCCUAAACUUCACUAAUCUCCAACUGUACUUAUUUCAGGCACUUAUACGGUGAUAUCUUUGUUGUCAUGUCAGUGGAGCUAAAUUCAAAACUCUAAUGAUGCAUUGGUGUCAAUUAGCAUAUUAUGUUUUUUUUAAGAACCUGCAAUUCUAAUUCACGUUCUCAAUGCAGCUUAUCCCAACAUCUCUCGAGAAGUUGAUGUUGCAAAAGCAGGAAACGUUGAAGGCUCUGGUGAUGAAAUACAAUUGUUUGCAAGAAAUUGACCUUACAGAUUGCGAAGCUCUGAUGACUUGUAUUUGUGAAGUUUUCAGUGAUGAGGGUGGUUGCCCGGUGCUUAACAACUGCAAGGUUUGUAUAAACUAAUAUAUACUAAUCUUAACAUGCUUACCGGUUAAUUUUUUGGUACUUGUUGAA
Molecule: long non-coding RNA, 819 nt
Organism: Papaver somniferum (opium poppy)
Lineage: Eukaryota; Viridiplantae; Streptophyta; Magnoliopsida; Ranunculales; Papaveraceae
Exons: 3
Source: RefSeq, a predicted model, not a curated record